AGAGAGCCCACCCCUGUGGCUGGCUGAGGUUGGCCUUGGGGCCGUGUGGCUCCCUUCUGCGGCUUGGCUGACAAGAGCAGCCUGCGUGGUCCACGCCCUCCCAGCCCACACGUCUCCUAUGGUCCAUGAUGGAGAUUCAGAGCGACAGGAACCAGAGCCGCAAAAGUGACUCCUCUUCAGACCUCCCCCACUAAUGAAUUCUCUCUGCAGAACGUGUGUUGGUCCAGCUCACUGCUCUCGUUUAUCUUUAGCUGCUCGACACUGGAAACCUUCAGAACACCACUGAUGACAGCGAUCUCAUAGGAGGCGAUGGAGAGGAGAUGAUCUCCACCCUACCCCAGUGAAGCCCCAACAGUGAGGCUGUCAGAAGACCAGAGAUGAGAGACAGACACGCACAGAGGGAAGAUGAUGUGAAGACGCGAGGAGAACAGCACGUGAAGGCAGAGGAUUGGAGUGAUGCACCUACAAGUCCAAGGAUGCCAAAGAUGGCUGGCAAAGCAUCAGACCCUAGGAAGGCGCAAGGAUUCCAGAGUCUCAGAUGGAGCAGGGUCCUGCCAAAUCUUGAUAGUGAACUUCUAGCCUUCAGAAAUGAGGAAACACAAAGUUCUGUUGUUCUAAGCUACCCAGCUUAUGGUACUUUGUUACAGCAACCUAGGAAAUUACCACACUUGGGAUUUUAAUUUAUUUUGGUUCAACAAAUAUUCACUGAGCUCAGUGUCGUGGGUAAUAAAACAGACAAAUAGAAAAUCACAGUCCUUUAUGAGGAGUGUGAUGAUGGUGUACUUUCAGAAGAGAAUACAACUACCUGCAGGGGGAAAAUGUCCUAUAAUUAGUUCCUUUUCACUGAUUCAGAGUGGCAUUCCACCAUUGCUGAGGUUGGCCUGAACUGUCUGUAUGUGAAGCUCCUGAGAGUAACACUGGAAGCUGUAUCCCACCCUCUGCACCCUCAACUCUCAUCUAGGUGCCUCCUCUGUGCUCCCCAAGCCCCGUUCCUUUUCUCUACCAUAGACUCACCCCAGUGCACCCUGGUUGUCUCUUUCACAUCAAACACAUGCCAUGAGCUCUUUGCUGCAGGGAUUGGCCUUUUCCAUCACUGCAUCCCUGCGGCCCAAUGAGGACCUGGUGUGGGUUAGUGUCCAGUGAACACUGGUUCAGGGCGUUAUCAAAGGACAAUCAUGCCAGAACUAGUCCAGAUCACCAUUUCUCACUGGAGCCCAUAAAUCCUUGGCAUUCUGAGGCCAUGGAUUCAGCCUGAGAUGCUCGCGUGUAGAUAAUAAUAAAUAAAUGGAUAGAUGAAUCCUCGCAUCUCCCCACAGUGCCUGGCAUAUAGCAGGCACUUUUCAAAAAUGUUUGUUCAGUAAAAUUCCUUAUAUGUCUGAUACUGUUAAGACAAAUGUCUAUAUUACAACUAUUUGUUUUGACAUACUUAUUCACUUAUUCAUCAAUAUUUAGUGAGUGGUGACUCUGUAAUCGACACCAAGGACAGCAGAAUAAGUAAG
Orcinus orca (killer whale) is the source of this 1499-nucleotide long non-coding RNA. RefSeq lists it as uncharacterized. The record is from RefSeq and is a predicted model, not a curated record. The transcript has 3 exons. Lineage: Eukaryota; Metazoa; Chordata; Mammalia; Artiodactyla; Delphinidae.